CUGCUGAAUUAGUGUUUGGCUCAGGUAGAAUUUAAUCAACUCAUAACUUCUUUUAAAUCAAGAGUUUGAGUUACACACUAAGGAUUUAUUAUGUCUUUAAAUGCUACAGAAAAAGCAGCAAUCGUUGCAGAAUACGCUCAAAAAGA
RNAcentral lists this non-coding RNA (146 nucleotides) under uncultured Colwellia sp. Its description in RNAcentral is "Ribosomal S15 leader". It matches the Rfam family "Ribosomal S15 leader". From Rfam's summary of the family: The E. coli Ribosomal S15 gene 5' UTR can form two alternative structures. One that is a series of three hairpins, The other includes a pseudoknot. Lineage: Bacteria; Pseudomonadati; Pseudomonadota; Gammaproteobacteria; Alteromonadales; Colwelliaceae. The record is from RNAcentral.